Metopolophium dirhodum (rose-grain aphid) is the source of this 388-nucleotide long non-coding RNA. RefSeq lists it as uncharacterized. The transcript is spliced from 3 exons. The record is from RefSeq and is a predicted model, not a curated record. NCBI's taxonomy places the organism in Eukaryota, Metazoa, Arthropoda, Insecta, Hemiptera, Aphididae.
UGGAACUAGUUUCAUGUCCACAAAGAUUACAAAAACUAAUCAACAAGCAAACAUUGUACGACAUACAGUGAAAAUCUUGCUGCUGUCUCAUUGGAAAACAAAAUUAUCAUGUUUAACAAGCCAAUAUAUUAUAUAGGUUUCGCAGUAUUGGAUAUCAGUAAAACCAUGAUGUACGAUUACCAUUUUAAUGUAAUGAAGGCGCAUUAUGGUGAUAAUAUCAAAUUAUCAACCUCAUGUAUACAGAUACAGAUUCACUGAUAUAUCACAUUAAGACUGACGAUUUUUACAAAGAUUUUAAGUGCAAUUCAAACUUACUUGACCGGAUGGAUACUUCAGAUUUGCCGAUAGACCAUCCAUGCUACAUUGCCGAACGAAAGAAAAUUCCAGG